CUUUAGGAAAGAAAAUGAGUGGCUGGGAAUCUUUGGCCCUUAGGUACUAAUUUGUUUCCUGCAAUGAUAAAGGGUUUGGGUGCAGAGGUGGUACUCACAGAGCCAGGAAGAAGUGGAUUCUAUUAUAACAGUCUCCUGGGAGUCCCACUCGACCAAAAUAUUCAACCACCAUGGAGAGCAGAUACUAUUCAGAACAGAGAGAAGUAUGUCAAAAACUAAGAGAAGAAUGAAGAGGAAAAGCAUGAAGAACCAAGUCACUGAACUCAGUUGGCAGGACAUGAAUAAAGGCCCCUGUAUUUCCCAUACCAUGUCCCUUGCUACUAUCCCAGGAGUCUUCCUGCCCAAGUUUCUUAUUUCUCCUAUAUUCAUACCAGCAAUUCUUUUAUUGGCUUUGCUCUAACUGGGGAGAAAAUCUAAGUUGUCAUGCUCACUCCCCCAAGUUUUUCUGCAGGUCCCACCCUUUGGGGCUUUCCAUACCUUAUCAGACACUCUUAGGAAAACGUCAGCCUCCAAGAAACUCUGGAUGACAGGAUCCUCUGCAGAGGGAGUGAAUGGGUCAGAGGCAUGGAGUGGCAAAGCUGAGAAGACCAAGCCCAGUGUUGUGGAAGGAGAAAUUUCCUCCCAAAGAAGUCUCAGGAAGGUAGAGAAGCUGAAAGUCCUGCCACAUUUCCUUUUCUGGUCAGGAAUGGGGUCUAGGAGAGGAAGCUUUUUCUAUUACAAUGUGAUUUAAAGGGGUUGGGAACCCCAACAGAAACUAAGAGCAGAAGACUGGGGUUCUAUUACCUCCUAGCUCCAUGACCUUGGUAAGUCACAAAGUUCUUGCAAGGCUUCCUGUCUCAAUAUAUUUCCUCUCUGUUGUUACUAUUAAACAUGGACAUCUCUAAA
Antechinus flavipes (yellow-footed antechinus) is the source of this 885-nucleotide long non-coding RNA. RefSeq lists it as uncharacterized. The transcript is spliced from 2 exons. NCBI's taxonomy places the organism in Eukaryota, Metazoa, Chordata, Mammalia, Dasyuromorphia, Dasyuridae. The record is from RefSeq and is a predicted model, not a curated record.